AAAGACAUCAGAUUUUGUUGAAAACUUUCCAAAUACUGCAUAUUCUGGAGGCAUGUAUCCACUGCAUAUGGAAAAAAAUAUAUAGUUAUGUAUAAUGCUCAUUCACAGUUACUGGAUAUAAGAAAUAUUUAUUAUGUCAAUGAUUCUCCGUCUUGCUGCUGGGUAUGUUGGCAUACUUACAAUGUUCCUGCAAUUCUGUUGGUCUUUUCCUGAAUUUGGCUGCUUUUGAAGAUUCUAGCCA
Molecule: unclassified non-coding RNA, 241 nt
Filed under: Hevea brasiliensis (rubber tree)
Lineage: Eukaryota; Viridiplantae; Streptophyta; Magnoliopsida; Malpighiales; Euphorbiaceae
Source: RNAcentral